This is a regulatory RNA element of 20 nucleotides. It matches the Rfam family "HIV-1 stem-loop 4 packaging signal". The record is from Rfam.
UGGGUGCGAGAGCGUCGGUA